Long non-coding RNA from Saccostrea echinata, 136 nucleotides. RefSeq lists it as uncharacterized. NCBI's taxonomy places the organism in Eukaryota, Metazoa, Mollusca, Bivalvia, Ostreida, Ostreidae. The transcript is spliced from 3 exons. The record is from RefSeq and is a predicted model, not a curated record.
CCGCAGUUCUGUGAUGGACUGCAAUCAAUCCCUGACGUGCAGCCGCCGAAGAGGAGGUUCAUGCUGACCCGGACGGAUCCCAACCGCAGUCAAGUAGAGAAGAGGAGGAUGCACAACAAGCAGCAGAGCCCAACAC